CGAGGCUCCAACAUUAUAUCUAUCCCUCCUGGCUCUAACGGGCAGCAGGAAGCACAGCACUGCCAGUCACCACGCAGAUGCUGUGAGGGGCCGAGGUGAGCUGGAGUUCCACGCCUCACGCGGCAGCUGCGCUGCAAUGCGUGAGUGCCGCGCCACGUAGCCGAGGGGGAGGAAUUCUGCGCGAUCCAGUGUUCCAGCGGCCAGCAUUCAGCCAGCCUUCCGGACCACACGAAGGAUCUCAGUAUGCAGUGCUGCCAUGCCUGGUUUUAUGCACUGCUGUUGAUGGCACCCGGGGCACCGUGAUGCCAGGCCCUACCCAGAUCCCAGACUCUACCUAUGAAACUAUCUCUCCAGCCCUCAAGUACUGCAACCUUGAAGAAGAAUGAGAUAGAUUGGAUAUUACUGGGUUUUGUUUGUUUUGUUGUUGAUUAAAGAGGCAUGUGCCACCACUGCCUAGCAAUUACUGCCUCCUCCCCCAACAUGGUUUCUCUGUGUAGUUUUGGCUGUCCUGGAACUCACUCUGUAGACCAGGCUAGCCUCAAACUCACAGAGGUUCACCUGCGUCUGCCUCCAUAGUGCUAGGAGUGGAGGCGCGUGCCAGCAUUGCACAGCUUGGUUUUUAAAUGGGCACAUCUUAAUUGAUUGACAUGCCUAUCUAAAGAGGCAAGAGCAGAGCAGCCAGGCUUUUGCCCUGCUUGUAGUUAUCCUGUGCGGCCAAAUGAGCAUCCAACUGGUUUUUGGUUUUUAUUGAUUUUUAGCAAACAUAAUUUCCAAAUGUGUGUUUAAUCACCAUCUAUAAUGAAACAGAAAUCCGAAAGCACCUAGAAAUGUGUCUCACAAAAUACGUGCAAGACUAUUAGAAAACUACAAAAAGAUCUUAUGUACGUAUCUGAAAAUACCUGAUAUCCUAAAGACACACUUCUUUCCCCAAAACUGAUCAAUAUAUGCAAUACAAUUCCAAACAAAAUUUCAAUAGGGUCUUAAAAAAAAAAAACAAAACAGCUCCUCUGCAGGCAGGGCUGGAUGGCCCAGUGCCUCAGAAGUCCCUGCUCUCUGACACGGUGUCUGGAGAUGUUUGCCUCGGAGCACACCAGCAUGCACUGUCAAAGAUGAGUGCUUUCUAAGGCUGACCACACACACGCACCCCAGGUCUGCCCACCUCAUAGUCUUUCCUGGGCUAAUGAGCUGGGGUGACCUGCUUUGCGUGGGAAGCCAACAGGCCAGGAGCCCAGGUAGACAAGGACGCUGCAGCCGGGAGCAUCGUAGAAACACCUCCACUGUGGCUGAAAGCAUGUGGGCUGCACGGCACUCCUUACCCGAAGAACUUCCAAACUCUUCUUGCCAAUCAUGUCAGCAAAGAGUGUAAAGGACAUUUCUAUAAGGACAGGUACUGAGCCGGGCAUAGUGGUGCACGGCUGUAAUCCCAGCACUCGAGAGGCAGAGGCAGGUGGAUUUCUGUGAGUUUGAGGCCAGCCUGGGCUACAAAGGGAGUCCAGGACAGCCAAGGCUCCACAGAGAAACCCCAUCUCAAAAAAAAAGAACUGGUACUGACCCAAGAAAGCUUUCACCAGAUACUGGAAGAAAUGGCAGCAAAAAGCAGCAUGAACAGCACAAAGGCUUCGAAGUCACCCAUGUUGUCACUCACACUGAUGAGUGCCUGCUUCUCGUCCACCAGGAGUAAGGUGAAGAGGGCACUGUGGCCGAGAAAACCUAGACAUGACCUGGAGGGGUGGGACCACAGAGUCCCCAUAAGUGAGGUGUUCACACAGGCUGGGACGAUUGAUGGCAUCAGGGUAAGCAAGAGCAAAGGCUACAAAGAGGUCCUCAGUUACUGACACCAAGGGCUGAGCAAAGUUGCCUGAGUCGGAGGCUGGCACUCUGCCCUCGGGGCCUCCUGUAGCAUGAGCUGAGCAAAAAAGCUACCUCCACGGAGCUGCAGUCAGCAAGAAGGCCUGCAUAGAUCAGUCAGGCCUACAGUCUCCAGGAUGGCGAGCUGAUCAAGAACAAUGGCCCCAUCAACUGAGGCCUAUCAGAUAAGAGCAUCAACCCACCAGGCAGCUCUGUCUCUUGUGGGUAAAGUGACCUACGUCUUUGUCAUGCUGAAAGCUGUAUGUUGGGGGCUGGUAUGUAUGUACCUGUGUACCCCACGCAAGCCCUUAAUGGUAUAGACCAGAUAAACUGCAGGCUCUGUAGAAGAUGGAUCCCAAGUUCAUGGACACCAGAUUUGGCUGUGGCCAAUUCCGUGAUAUAAAGAGGAAAUCAUUCAUGAAUACUUAAAAGAGACAAGACUGACUGGGCUGAACAUGUAGCUCAGUGGGUAAACAUCUGGGGACUGGGUCUGAACCCCUAGAACCCGGAGUAGGCUGAGUGAACUCAGUAGCUAGUGUCUGUAAUGCCAGUGUUCCUACAGCGAAACAGACACAGGAGAAACCCUGCAGGCUCAGGGCCGGAUAGCCUGUCAUGCCCAGUGAGGAACAGCAAAGAGGCCCCGGAUCAAACAGGUGGAAGGCGAGAAUCAAUACCCGGAUGUGCUCUGACCUCUGUGCACUCUCACAAACACAUGCACACAUUCACAUGCAUAAAUGUUCAUGCACACGCAGAAGAUUUUUUUUUUUUUAAGGAAAAGAAAGAUUGCCAAGGAAGCAGGUACUUAUUGGCACUAUGUUUCACAGCUGACAAGAACAUGGUGUUUUUAUUCCUCCUGGCAAGGGAAAAAAGAGCACCCAACUUUACUCAAACAUCCUUCACAUCACAUGAUUCAUCCCUGAAACUACGCAAGAGGUUCUUUAACGUGGUUUUCAACCUGGAAAGAUUCUAAAAUGUCUGUGCAAUGUAGAAAGUUUAAAAUAGGCUGGCUCCUACUGAGGCUAAAACCAUGUGUUACAGAAGUGUUCCCAGGCAAACUGGCAGCAGCAGUGGAGAAUGGAAAAUGCUCUAAGGGGCCGUGGGCAGGAUUCUGGAGAUCUGUGCCAUACCGUACUAAGUAAAGCCAGCGGGGAAAGAGAAUCAUCUAAAAAGCAGCUUCUAUGUAGAGCUGCAGCAAUUGAGGUAGAGGUAUCUCUUAUUUUUUUGAGACAAGAUUUCUCUUUUUUCAAAGGUUUAUUUAUUUGUUUUAUGUAUAUGACCACUGUUUUCAUGCACAGCAGAAGAGGGAAUCAGAUUCCAUUACAGAUGGUUAAAAGCCACUGUGUGGUUUCUGGGAAUUGAACUCAGGACCUCUGGAAGAGCAGCUAGUGCUCUUAACCGCUAAGCCAUCUCUAGCCCAAGGCAGGGUUUCUCUGUGUAGCCGUGGCUAUCCUGCACUUACUUUGUAGACCAGGCUGUCCUCAAACUCACAGAGAUCCACCUACCUCUGCCUCCUGAGUGCUGGGAUUACAAGCAUGCACCACCAUGCCCAGCUGGCAGAGACAUUCCAACAGCUGGUCAGUUGUGGCACUGGAGAGAUAAAUCAGAACGUGAUGCUCUUGCAGAGAAUCCAAGUUCAAUUCCCAGAACCCACAUGGCAUCUCACAGCUGUUGUUCUAGUUCCAAGAGAUCUAGUCCCCUCUUCUGCCUUCCACUGCCACUGCACAUACGUGCGCAUAAUGUGUGCAGUCAAAACACUCAGACAUAUAGCACACAAAAUUUUAAAAACAGGGCUGGGGAGAUGGCUCAGAGGUUAAGAGCACUGGCUGCUCUUCCAGAGGUCCUGAGUUCAAUUCCCAGCAACCACAUGGUGGCUCACAGCAAUCUAUAAUGAGAUCUGGUGCCCUCCUCUGGCGGCAUGCAGGUGUAUAGCACUAUUAGGAGGUGUGGCCUUCUUGGAGGAAGUGUGAUCUUCAACUGUGAGAUUUCAAAUGCAUAACCAAGGCCUAGUCUGUCUGUCUGUCUAUCUGUCUCUCUCUCCUCCGCCACUACUUGUGGAUCCAGAUAUAGGACCCUCAACUACCGCUCCAGCACCAUGUCUGCCUGCAUGCUUCCCAUCGUGAUGACAGUGGACUAAAGUUCUGAACUGUGAGCCAGCUCCCAUUAAGACAAGGCUGCAUAAUUCCAAGCUUCAGGCUACACCUGUGAUGACAGCACAAGAAGGUGGAGGCAGGAGGAUCAAGAAACUCAAGGUCAUUCUCAGUUACAUAGUGCCGGGGAAUUGAACUCAGGCAUCAGGCUUGGAGUCAAGUACCUUUAACCUACUGAGCCACUGUGGCCCUCAGCAACACUGAACAAAGACAUUACAGAUGGCUUGAAUCUUCACAACCAAAAUUUGAGCACGGUACACAGAAAGGGAAGAAAGAGGAAUCGCUUAUUUGUUACUAGGUACUUUUUUGUAUGAAGAAAGCUUCCUUUGUUAAUUCAUUCAACAUUUGUUGAGGAAAAACAGGCUGUGAAAGAAGAGGUCCCUCCAGAAACUAGCUGCUACAGAUCAAGGGUGAAGGCCCAGCCUGGACCACCCCGCCACAGGAAGGGCUCCAGAGACAGAAAGUGCCCCAAGGUCCUGGAAGACUUUACAUUUGUUUUAAAACACUUAAACUCUCUGGUAAAAGAUGUACAUAAUGGCUAAUUAUUAUAUGAUUCAUUUUUAUUCAUAACUCUGUGUACUGUUAAUUCUUAUCUUAAACUAAUUUCAUUCCUCCUAA
This is a long non-coding RNA of Meriones unguiculatus (Mongolian gerbil), 4613 nucleotides long. RefSeq lists it as uncharacterized. The transcript has 3 exons. NCBI's taxonomy places the organism in Eukaryota, Metazoa, Chordata, Mammalia, Rodentia, Muridae. The record is from RefSeq and is a predicted model, not a curated record.